Molecule: ribosomal RNA, 107 nt
Filed under: Oreochromis niloticus (Nile tilapia)
Lineage: Eukaryota; Metazoa; Chordata; Actinopteri; Cichliformes; Cichlidae
Source: RNAcentral
GCUUACGGCCAUACUACCCUGAUCACACCCAAUCACAUCUAAUCUCAGAAGCCAAGCAGGGUCAGCCCUGGUUAGUACUUGGAUGGGAGUACCAGGUGCUAUUGGAG